AAUCAUCACUUGCAAGUAAAAAGCUAAGUGUCACCCCGUUCAAGAGGAAAGCUGUGGAAAGUCAACAAGCACAACCAAUGAUUACUUAUUAGUUUUAUUCAUUAUCUUUUAUCGUAAUUUUCAAUUUUUCGUUUGCAAUUUUUUUUAAUUAAUUUUCUUGCGUACUUAACUGAAUUAUUUCUUUUCUUUGCAGGAACUUUUGGUUAUUUCCACCCUUGAAGUUGAUUGCAGAAUUUUAGCUUGGGGGUCAUCGCUUGAUUUUACUGCAAAUUAGGGAAGUUUUCAGUCCAAUUGCGUU
Molecule: long non-coding RNA, 298 nt
Filed under: Malus domestica (apple)
Lineage: Eukaryota; Viridiplantae; Streptophyta; Magnoliopsida; Rosales; Rosaceae
Description: long non-coding RNA (MDOM_LNC002838)
Source: RNAcentral